This 1612-nucleotide ribosomal RNA is filed under the name Sorites sp. P27_1382x. RNAcentral's name for it is "SSU rRNA". It matches the Rfam family "Eukaryotic small subunit ribosomal RNA", at positions 87 to 1444 of the family's 1831-position model. Lineage: Eukaryota; Foraminifera; Miliolida; Soritidae. The record is from RNAcentral.
CUGCGAAUAGCUGUUUAAUACAGUCGUAAUUGUAUUGACUUAUGUUAUAUUAAUAGUUAUUUAUUUUGGAUAACUAAGGGAAAGUUUGGCUAAUACGUUUAAAAUAUAAUAAUACAUUAUGCACAUAAUAAUAUUUAUAUAUGAUAAAUAUUAUGUAAAAUAUAAGUAAUUUAUUACUUUUUUUAGAGCAGACUUUAUAAUAUUUAUAUUAUAAAGCAUGUCAAACAAGCAUCUAUAGCAUCAAGUCACAAUGUUGGCAUGUGUAUUAUUGAACCUUCAAAGCAUUUACGCAUUCGGAGGAGUAGUUUCUGAUCCCGUCGAAGGUGCCUGAGAGACGGCACUUAGUUCUAAGGAACGCAGCAGGCGCGUAAAUUGCCCAAUGACGACACAUGAUAUAUAAACUUAAUAAAUAAAUAAUAUUUAUUGAGGCAGUGACAAGCUGUAAAGAUUGAAUAUAUUAAUUAAGAUAACAUUUGGAAUUGUCGUUUUAUAAUAUUUUUAAUAUUAUAUUACUUGAUAAUAUACCAAUGUUAUAAAAUAUUCAAUUUGAAUGCGGUGAAUAUAAUAAUUUCAAGUAACAUGUAUAAAAUAUUUAUAUUUUAUUAGUUAUCUGAAUUUUCAAGUGGAGGGCAAGUCUGGUGCCAGCAGCCGCGGUAAUACCAGCUCCACUAGCUUAUACAAUCAUUGUUGCGGUUAAGAGGCUCGUAGUUGGAUUGAAUACAUUUUUACAAUACUGUGAACAAACCAGAGUGUAUAAAACAUGUAAUAUAUUAUAUAUUUAGCAAUGAAUGUUUUAUCAUGGAAUAUUGCUUUUUAAUAUAAUAUCGAUGGAGAUAGUUGGAGUUAAGAGUACUGAUAGGCGAGCGGUGAAAUGCAUUGACCCUAUUAAGACUAACAAAAGCGAAAGCACUUAACUAGAUUAUUCUCUUUGUAUUAUUACAAUGAAGAGCGAAGGUUGGGGGAACAAAGAGGAUCAGAUACCCUCGUAGUCCUAUUUUUACAUCAAACUAUGGGAUUUCAAUCACAAAUAAAAAACCAAAUAUAAUUGAGUAUAUAAUUAUUUACUCUUAUAUUUAAUAUAUAUUAUUGAUUAUAUGUACUUUGAGCUCAUAUAAUUAUAUAGGUGAGAUGUAAGCAUUAUAGGUGAAUAAUAUAUAAGUAAUAUUAUAUUAUUAUGAUCCUUAUUUAUAAAAAUGUAAUGUGAUGCACGUUUUAGGUACGAGCUUACUAUAGAAAUAUUUAAAAUAAUACCCUCCUGGGGUAGUAUGCACGCACGUGUGAAACUUGAAGGAAUUGACGGAAGGGCACCACAAGAACGCGUGGAGCAUGUGGCUUAAUUUGACUCAACCCGGGAAAUCUUACCAGGUCCAGACAUAUUGAGGAUUGACAGGCGAUAGUAUAUAAAAUAUAUUUUUAUAUGCAUAAAAAUGAUAGUCCUUUCAUGAUUAUAUGAUAGGUGGUGCAUGGCCGUUCUUAGUUCGUGGAGUGAUUUGUCUGCUUAAUUGCGUUUCAGUAAAUAAAAUAUAUAAUAUAUUAUAAUAUUUAGUUCUGCCUUUUUAAAAGGAUUUAAAGUGAACAAUAUUAUAUAUAUUAUUAUAUAAUAAAUGAAUGC